This 475-nucleotide long non-coding RNA is filed under the name Citrus sinensis (sweet orange). RNAcentral's name for it is "long non-coding RNA (CSIN_LNC004212)". Lineage: Eukaryota; Viridiplantae; Streptophyta; Magnoliopsida; Sapindales; Rutaceae. The record is from RNAcentral.
AAUGAAAAUGGACUGGAAUGAGAAUGAGGAAUAAAAAUGAGAUUUUAAUAUUUACUUGACAAAAAUAAAUGGGAAUGGAAAUGUGCUGGAAUGCCAUUGAUAUGUUUACUUGGCAAAAUAAAUGGGAAUGAAGAAUGAGAAUGAGAAUCAAUUUACCAAAAUUAGGGGUGGGCAAAAUACCCGACUCGACCCGACUCAAUCCGAAAAAAGUCGGGUUCAGAUCAGAUCAGGUUAUGUAUAAAACCCGAUCGGAUCCAUUUGUGUCAACCCGAUUGGAUCAUGAUCGGAUCGGAUGAAACCCGAUCCGAUCCGAAAAUCCGAUCGGGUUGACACAAAAUUAAAAAUAAAAAUAAAACAAAAUUAAAAAACCAAAACUGACAAACUUCACUCACCCACACAAUCACACCCCAUCAAAUCCUAAACACUCACCCGCACAAUCACACACCACACACACGAUCCACACACAAUCACACAC